This 460-nucleotide ribosomal RNA is filed under the name uncultured bacterium. Its description in RNAcentral is "partial 16S ribosomal RNA". It matches the Rfam family "Bacterial small subunit ribosomal RNA", at positions 338 to 795 of the family's 1533-position model. The record is from RNAcentral.
CCUACGGGUGGCAGCAGUGAGGAAUAUUGGUCAAUGGGCGCGAGCCUGAACCAGCCAAGUAGCGUGAAGGAUGACUGCCCUACGGGUUGUAAACUUCUUUUAUAAAGGAAUAAAGUGAGGCACGUGUGCCUUUUUGUAUGUACUUUAUGAAUAAGGAUCGGCUAACUCCGUGCCAGCAGCCGCGGUAAUACGGAGGAUCCGAGCGUUAUCCGGAUUUAUUGGGUUUAAAGGGAGCGUAGAUGGGUUGUUAAGUCAGUUGUGAAAGUUUUCGGCUCAACCGUAAAAUUGCAAUUGAUACUGGCAGCGUUGAGUUCACAACAGGCAGGCGGAAUUCGUGGUGUAGCGGUGAAAUGCAUAGAGAUCACGAGGAACCCCGAUUGCGAAGGCAGCCUGCCGGGGUGCGACUGACGCUGAGGCUCGAAGGUGCGGGUAUCAAACAGGAGUAGAUACCCGUGUAGUC